This 253-nucleotide ribosomal RNA is filed under the name uncultured bacterium. Its description in RNAcentral is "partial 16S ribosomal RNA". It matches the Rfam family "Bacterial small subunit ribosomal RNA", at positions 524 to 776 of the family's 1533-position model. The record is from RNAcentral.
UACGUAGGGUGCGAGCGUUGUCCGGAAUUAUUGGGCGUAAAGAGCUCGUAGGCGGUUUGUCUCGUCGACUGUGAAAACCUACAGCUUAACUGUGGGCUUGCAGUCGAUACGGGCAGACUUGAGUUCGGUAGGGGAGACUGGAAUUCCUGGUGUAGCGGUGAAAUGCGCAGAUAUCAGGAGGAACACCGGUGGCGAAGGCGGGUCCCUGGGCCGAUACUGACGCUGAGGAGCGAAAGCGUGGGGAGCGAACAGG